Molecule: ribosomal RNA, 774 nt
Filed under: uncultured Neocallimastigales
Lineage: Eukaryota; Fungi; Neocallimastigomycota; Neocallimastigomycetes; Neocallimastigales
Description: partial large subunit ribosomal RNA
Rfam family: Eukaryotic large subunit ribosomal RNA
Source: RNAcentral
UCAGACGAUGCGUCAUGCAUAUCAAUAACGGAGGAAAAGAAACUAACAAGGAUUCCCCUAGUAACGGCGAGUGAAGCGGGAAGAGCUCAAAUUUGAAAUCUUAAAGGGUUUCCCUUUACGAAUUGUAGUUUAAAGAAGUGUUUUCUGUUGAGGUUUUGGUAAAAGUUCUUUGGAAUAGGACAUCAUAGAGGGUGAGAAUCCCGUAUUUGACCUUUACUUUCAACUUUGUGAUACACUUUCAAAGAGUCGGAUUGUUUAGGGAAUGCAGUCCAAAAUGGGUGGUAAAUUUCAUCUAAAGCUAAAUAUUGGCGAGAGACCGAUAGCGAACAAGUACCGUGAGGGAAAGAUGAAAAGAACUUUGAAAAGAGAGUUAAACAGUACGUGAAAUUGUCAAAAGGGAAGCGUUUGACACCAGUGUUGUUUUUCUGAAAAUCAAUUAAAGAACUGUUUAUGCUAAGUUGUUUAGACUUUAUCAGCUAACUGUUUAGUUUUGAGCUUUUCUUUAAUGCACUUUUCAGUUAACAAGUCAACAUCAAUUUCUUUUGCUGUAAAAAAGCUUGAGGAAGGUGGCUUGAGAUUCGUCUUAAGUGUUUAUAGCCUCUUGCCUAUGCAGUCGGAGAGAUUGAGGUCUGCAGCGUAGAUCCUUCGGGGCUAAAUGCAUUUGUGCUAAGUUAUAGCAUUUUAUAGACAACUUGUUGACUAUGAUUUGUCUUGUAGCUUACUUGCUUAUGUUAUUUUACCUACGCUUAGGAUGUUGAGCGCAUGUCUCUCUCU